AAUAUUGGACAAUGGGCGCAAGCCUGAUCCAGCCACGCCGCGUGAGUGAUGAAGGCCUUCGGGUCGUAAAGCUCUGUGGGGAGGGACGAACCGCCGGUAGUUAAUACCUGCCGGCAUGACGGUACCUCCUUCGCAAGCACCGGCUAACUUCGUGCCAGCAGCCGCGGUAAUACGAAGGGUGCAAACGUUGCUCGGAAUUAUUGGGCGUAAAGCGCACGUAGGCGGCUUUGUAAGUCGGAUGUGAAAUCCCUCGGCUUAACCAAGGAAGUGCAUCCGAAACUACAGAGCUUGAGUACUUAAGAGGAUCGCGGAAUUCCCGGUGUAGAGGUGAAAUUCGUAGAUAUCGGGAGGAACACCAGUGGCGAAGGCGGCGAUCUGGGAAGAUACUGACGCUGAGGUGCGAAAGCGUGGGGAGCAAAC
RNAcentral lists this ribosomal RNA (420 nucleotides) under uncultured bacterium. RNAcentral's name for it is "bacterial SSU rRNA". It matches the Rfam family "Bacterial small subunit ribosomal RNA", at positions 360 to 773 of the family's 1533-position model. The record is from RNAcentral.